GUCACACUGGGAUCGAACUGUCCAGAUCACGAGUCCCGUAGGAUCUCCAUGGGCAGUCAGUGAGGCAUGCCGCGUAUGCGAGAAAGUUUCCGAUUUAAACUCUGUGUAAGGAAGACUAGUCACUAGUACUGUUGUACCUUAGAGCGGAUACCUAAUUAGAAAGACGCCGUCUAACGUACGUGCCAGCAGCGGGAGUAUUAUGUAAGGUGCUAAGCGUUUUCCGAAAUAUCGGCGUAGAGCGCGCGCCASCCGGUACCUCCUAGUCUGAUGUUGGAAGCCGACGGCUCCACCCCUGGAGGGUCAUUGGAAACUGUGGGACUUGAGUGCAGAAGGACGGAAAGCGGAAUACCAAGUGUAGCGGUGAAAUGCGUAUGAGAUUUGGAGGAACACCAGUGGCGAGGGGCGAUCUUUCUGGUCUGUAACCGUCGCUGAGACGCGAAAGCGUGAGGAGCACACAGGAUUAGAUAGCCUGGUAGUACACGCCGUAAACGAUGAGUGCUAAGUGUUAGGGGGUUUUCGCCCUUUAGUGCUGCAGCUAACGCAUUAAGCACUCCGCCUGGGGAGUACGGUCGCAAGACUGAAACUCAAAGGAAUUGACGGGGGCCCGCACAAGCGGUGGAGCAUGUGGUUUAAUUCGAAGCAACGCGAAGAACCUUACCAGGUCUUGACAUCCCUUUGACCACUGUAGAGAUAUAGUUUUCCCUUCGGGGACAACGGUGACAGGUGGUGCAUGGUUGUCGUCAGCUCGUGUCGUGAGAUGUUGGGUUAAGUCCCGCAACGAGCGCAACCCUUGAUCUUAGUUGCCAUCAUUUAGUUGGGCACUCUAAGGUGACUUCCGGUGACAAUCCGGAGGAAGGUGGGGAUGACGUCAAAUCAUCAUCCCCCUUAUGUCCUGGGCUACACACGUGCUACAAUGGCCGAUACAAACGGUUGCCAACUCGCGAGAGGGAGCUAAUCCGAUAAAGUCGUUCUCAGUUCGGAUUGUAGGCUGCAACUCGCCUACAUGAAGCCGGAAUCGCUAGUAAUCGCGGAUCAGCAUGCCGCGGUGAAUACGUUCCCGGGCCUUGUCCACACCGCCCGUCACACCACGAGAGUUUGUAACACCCGAAGUCGGUGGGGUAACCUUUGGAGCCAGCCGCCGAAGGUGCAAUAGUUCCG
Molecule: ribosomal RNA, 1158 nt
Filed under: Lysinibacillus sp.
Lineage: Bacteria; Bacillati; Bacillota; Bacilli; Caryophanales; Bacillaceae
Description: bacterial SSU rRNA
Source: RNAcentral